GAAUUUAAGGUUUAACCGACCCACUAAUUUAUUAAAUGGCCGCAGUAAUUUGACUGUGCAAAGGUAGCAUAAUAAUUAGUUUUUUAAUUAAAAGCUUGUAUGAAUGGUUGGACGAGGUAAAUACUGUCUCUAAAUAAUAAAUAGAAUAAAAUUUUUAAAUUAAAAAGCUUAUAUGAUWAUAAAAGGCGAGAAGAUCUUUAUAGUAUUUUUUAUAUAUAUAAUUAAGAUUAUUUUAUUGUUUAUAAUAAAUAUUAUUGUAUUGGGGKAAUAGAAAGAUUAAAUUAAUUCUUUAUUAUUUAUAUAUAAAUUAAAAGAUUUAUGAUCCUUUAGUAGAGAUUGUAAGAUUAAGUUACCUUAGGGAUAACAGCGUAUUUUUUUUGAAGAGUUCCUAUCGAUAAAAACGUUUGCGACCUCGAUGUUGGAUUAAAAAUUAUUCUAGGUAUAGUAGUUUAGAAUUUUGGUCUGUUCGACCAUUAAAUUUUUACAUGAUCUGAGUUCAGACCGGUGUAAGCCAGGUCGGUUUCUAUCUUUAUUAAAUUAGUAUAUUUUAGUACAAAAGGACCAAAUAUAGAAUAUAUUUAUAUUUUUUAUUUUUGAAUUAUA
This 603-nucleotide ribosomal RNA is filed under the name Paroster pentameres. RNAcentral's name for it is "partial 16S ribosomal RNA". The stretch from base 321 to 522 matches the Rfam family "Bacterial large subunit ribosomal RNA", at positions 2087 to 2636 of the family's 2925-position model. The record is from RNAcentral. Lineage: Eukaryota; Metazoa; Arthropoda; Insecta; Coleoptera; Dytiscidae.